GUUUUUAUAGUUGAAUAACA
Molecule: transfer RNA, 20 nt
Filed under: Pseudaphritis urvillii (congolli)
Lineage: Eukaryota; Metazoa; Chordata; Actinopteri; Perciformes; Pseudaphritidae
Description: partial tRNA-Glu
Source: RNAcentral